GUGCUGAUUUGAGCUCCUAGCCAGUUCACCCUGCAGUCAACAAUCAACUUGAGCUGACAGAAGAGUUAGGAUUUGUGGGUGAAUGGAUGUAAGGAAGGGACAACACUGACAACCUCUGCAGUGAAGGGACAACACCGACAACCUCUGCAGUGAAGAUAAACCCAGUGAAGCUAGAUGGCAUUCAAGAAAAGAGGUCUUAGGCUUGAAAUCACAGAGCAGAAUGUAAGACUUGAUAUUUUUUUAACAGGGAGCUGAUGUAUGUGGAAAGCAGGUGCUGGUUACAGGCACACAUGGUGACAGUCCAGGUUGGCAGAACCAUCUCUCAAAAUCACAAUUGCUGUGCUUAAACCUGCCUGGGAGUAUCAGCCCCAACUGGAUUCCCAUCACAAGGGCUUACUUCCAGAAAAUGAUAUUCCUGGGACAGUAUAAAUCCCUACAUGAAGAUCACUCACCUUAACUGCUUGUACUGGUAUAAUUUUACUUGCCUACAUACACAAAUGAACAGAAAGAUGUCACUUGGGGUUUGAAAACAGCUUAAAUCAACUGCAGUAGUAUGGAAAAUGAACCACUCACUAAAGUCAGAAAACGACAAGAGAAGGGACUUAAACAGGUGGAGGAAAGGUUGAUUUCAGGUAGACUGAAGGAGUAGAAGAGAGAAGAGUAUUCAGGUAGCCAGUAGAGCAUAGAGAAUGAAACAGAGAGGACUAGGGCAGUGUAAAGCAGUCUCUGACUACAGUAAGUCCAAGGUCACUGAAUAGCAAAAAAAAGAAUUACAAUAGGUGAAACAAAGGACUUCAGGACACAAAAAUGGUUGCUAGAACAACUGCUGAACUGCUGGUUGCACUGAGGGUACAACCGAGCACAAAACCGCCAUGAAGAACAGAUGUAAUUGGGAGAAGCUGAUAAAAGCAAGAUCAAGAAUGCGAUGAAAAUCAGCUGCACACUUAUGGAGAUGAGAAGGGAGAGCGUUUCUAGAGUAAUUAUUAAAACACAGUAAUCUCAACAUGGUUUUGUGAAAAAGUUCUUCACUGCCCUUGUACUUCAGAGCUCACAAAGGAGAAAAGCAGAUAAUAAAAGGUCAUAUUUACAAGAAAGUCAGCAUUUGGUAUGUGUAACAAUAGUUUAUAAUAAAUUUAAGAGGCAUCAAAACUAAGGGUUUAAGCAAACUGCAUCAGAAUCACAGCUUCUUAGUACAUGCCUCCUAAAUGAGCACCUCCAGAUGAACUUGCACUUCUUGAAUUCUGGCACAAUGCAUAUUCUAAACUGUUUCUGGUUCACUAACUUUCCAAAAUGACAUUUAAUUUGUAAUUGCAUGACUUAGAAAUUAUUCUUAUGUUUCUGUCAUUUUUCAUUUUUCCCCCUCUUUACUAAUAGAUCAAAUGUCAAUAAAAUCAUGCUGAUAUAAUGUAAUGAAUUAUAUAUAAUUUUAAUAUGUACACUUAAAUUAGCAACAUCCAUGCCUAAUUACAAUUUUUGUUUUUAAAAUCUUUAAAAAUAGACUCUAGUAAACAUCAUGGGAUUUAUAACAGCCUCUGUAAUUAUUUUCUCUGAAUUAUUUUUAUUGUUCAUCUGACCAUAAUCUUGUCUCUUAAAAUUAUAUAUAUUCGACAAUCAAAACAAGCUGCUAAAUAGCUCUGAACUUUGAUCUAUACCCAUAAAUAAAUAAAUAAAUUCCAAGUGUUCUUC
Anas platyrhynchos (mallard) is the source of this 1686-nucleotide non-coding RNA. Lineage: Eukaryota; Metazoa; Chordata; Aves; Anseriformes; Anatidae. The record is from RefSeq and is a predicted model, not a curated record.